This is an RNA transcript of Onychostruthus taczanowskii (white-rumped snowfinch), 4775 nucleotides long. It is a transcript of the gene named TSC22 domain family member 2, with no coding region annotated. The record is from RefSeq and is a predicted model, not a curated record. NCBI's taxonomy places the organism in Eukaryota, Metazoa, Chordata, Aves, Passeriformes, Passeridae. The transcript has 5 exons.
AGGAGCCGCGGCCCUACCGCGCUCCGGGAGCUCCGGGGCCGGUGCAGCGCAGCGGGUCCGCCCGCCCGCGGCCGCCGAGCGCCGCUCCCCGGGCCGCCGCGGCGCCCGCACCCCGCCCGCGGCGGGGGUUUGCCCGUGGGGCGAGCCCGCGGGCCGGUUGCGAGCAGGAUGCGCCUGGCGCUGGUCUCCAGGUAGAGCGCGGAGACAGCGGGGGGGGUGGGACACGGGGCCGCCCGGGCCUCGCCCGGCCAGCGCGGGGCCCCUCGCGCGGGGCGGGCCGCGGGCCCGCCGCUGCGGCCCGCAGGAAGCCGCGGGGCGCUCGGAGCGGCGGCAGGGAGGAGAAGGAGGCCCGGCCGCGGGAAGAGGGCUGCGGAUAGGGAGGAAGAGGAGGAGCCCCGCCGCCCCCCGCCCGCCGCAGGAAGCCGCCGGAGGAUGUACGGCAGCGCCCGGGGCCCGGCCGGCACGCCGUGACAGCCCGCCCCAGCACCCCGCUCGCCUCGCCGCGGCCGGCCGAACCCCUUCCUGCGGAGGAAACAUGUCCAAGAUGCCGGCCAAGAAGAAGAGCUGCUUCCAGAUCACCAGCGUGACCACGGCGCAGGUGGCCAGCAGCAUUACCGAGGACACCGAGAGCCUGGAUGACCCGGAUGAGUCCCGCACCGAGGACGUGUCUUCUGAGAUCUUUGAUGUUUCCCGAGCCACCGACUACGGCCCCGAGGACGUCUGUGAGCGGAGCUCCUCCGAAGAGACUCUCAACAACGUGGGCGAGGCCGAAACUCCCAGCAGCGUCUCUCCCAAUCUCCUUUUGGACGGGCAGCUGGCUGUGGCCGCUCCUGGGAUGGCUGCAGGCCCCAACGGGGGGGCUGUGCCCAAAAGUUCGGCUGUGCCCCUGCCAGCUGUUGCUCCUGGCACAGCUGUGGGGGGGGGCAGCAGUGCUCAGGCUGCCCUGCCCUCCACAGGGCCUUCGGCACCCAGUGCCCCCGGGGCCAUGUCUCAGACGGCGGCUGCUGCGUGCAGCUCACGCUUCAGGGUGAUCAAGCUGGACCACGGUACUGGGGAGCCCUACAGGCGAGGCCGAUGGACGUGUAUGGAGUACUAUGACCGGGACUCAGACGGUGGUGGUGUUCUGGGCAGGACUGGAGAUUGCAUUAGGCACAGCAGCACCUUCGAACAGGCUGCUCAGGAGAGGGACAGUGGCCUCGGUGCCACAGGAGGUUCUGUUGUGAUCUCGGCUGUGCCAGCGUCAGCCCAUGGCCCCGAUUCUAUAGCUGACAGCUCCCUGGCUGCUGUGUCACAGCUGCUUCAGACAGAGAAAAUGAACCAGUCCUCUCUACAGCAACCUAAUUUUGUCAUUGGGCAACAGCAACAGCCCGUAGGUGGGGCCGUGCCUCAGAGUACUGCUCAGCCUGUGUUUUCUGGGGCUUCGGGAGCAAGUCAGCAAAUGAUAGUGCCGCAGCAACCACAGGUAAAUCCACAGGGUGUUUCACAGGCUGGACCCAACGGGAAAGGCAUGGCACCUCCAAAUGUGACAGCAGGGCAGUCAGGCAUUCCUGUGGCCCAGCAGCAGGUGCAGCAGGCAAACAUACCAGUGACUCAACCUCAACAAUUUGCUUAUUCUCAGUCCCAGAUUCCACCAGUGCAUCUACUGCCGACGCAGCCUCCUGGGCAGGCUGAAUACAUGCAGCACAUGACAAUAAUGCAGUCUCAAGGAGCUAUUCAGCAGGCUGCUACAAGCUCUGCUCCAAGUACUGUGGCCUCCAGCCUUCCUGUGGGGCAGGUGACGGGCCAGAACCCCUCACCUGUGGGAGCGCCAGUGAUGGGGGUGUCAGCGCAGCCCAGCGAAGCAGUCGGACAGGGGUCGGGGUUGUUGCAGAGUGGCCAGGCACAAGCGAGUCAGCCUGCCCUCCCGCAGCCGGGAGGUGUGGUGCAGCCAGGCCUUGGACAUACGGGGGUUGUGCAACAGAAAUCUGUGACUCAGCAUCCAAUGGGGGGAAGCAGUCAAGUGUCGGCAAUGCCCGGCGCUCCCCACGCUGUGGUCCCUGGAGUUCAGAGCGUGCCUGCGGUUGUGCCCGGUACAAGUGUGCCUAGCGUGUCCACCACCGCUUCUGCUGCUAUGCCAAACGUCCCUGUUACGCUGGCCCAGUCCCAGCUGACGAGCCACCCUUCUGUCAGCAGAAGCACUGGCACGGUCCAGUCCCAGCACGUCGGACACUCGAUGAUGCAAGGUGCACCCGCCAGCCUGCCUCAGGCGAGCCUCGGACAGUUUCAGACCCAGGCCCAGUCCUUAGUAGGCCAGAUUGAUGAUACUAGAAGAAAAUCGGAGCCCCUACCUCAGCCACCACUUUCUCUUAUAGCUGAAAAUAAACCUCUUGUGAAGCCUCCCAUUCCAGACACUCUAGCAAAUCCUCUUCAGUUACCUGCAAGUACUCCAAUGAACAGUCUUGCCAGCUCUGUUUUUGGCAUAUCCAUUCCUGUUGAUGGUGAUGAAGACAGGAAUCCGUCAACUGCAUUCUACCAAGCGUUCCAUUUCAACAAGUUACACGAGUCAAAGACCACCUGGGAUAGGUAUGGAUGCUUGAGUAUGGAAUGCAUACAUGCUGAGGAUUUGCCAGUUGAGGCAUUGGCUCUACAGUGGAUGGUGCACUCACAGAAUGUGUCAGACUCUCUCCAUUCAGUCAUCCAAAAAGACUUGUUUAAGGGAUAUUUUGGGUUUCUUCCUGGCCUUUUCAUAAGGACUGGAAUGUAUUUAUAAAUGUCAUUCUGCAGCCAUGGGAUAAAAUAUUUUUGUGCAAACUGGAAUUUGAUGUCAAGCAUUUAGGAUUUGAGAAAAAUAUACAAAAUUUUAAGAUUUGGCAGCACAUUUGGAGUUUCCCAUGAGAGCAGCUGUCACUGGAGGGCUCUGCUCAUGAAUGUCCCACAGGAGCUGCUUGGUGUUGGGAGCACUGUCAGAUGAAUAAAGAACAAAAUCAUGUGGGAAUUGUGCUACCGUAACAUCUAAUUCCCAUCUGCUUUUAGAAAGUGACAUGAACUAUAGUCAGCUGAUUUUAUCCUGAUGGCAAACGGGGGCACCCUGUGUCAGUGUGGAGCUUCUCCUGGGUGGGUGGGUGAGUAGGGGUCUGCGUGGUGCCAGCCUCUGCCUGCUGAAGCUGGGACCCAGGAUGUGUACAGGGAGCAGGGCUGGAAUCCAGACUCAGCAUCUUAGUCUUAGCACAGCUGCUCUGGGGCUGAGGGCAGCAAGAACGUUACGAAGUGUAUAAAGCUGCCUAGAGCCUUCAGCACUGUUGGUGUCAUGUCAGGUGAGGGGUGUGUGGUAAAGCAGUGGCUCCUUCCAGUCACUCUGCAGGGAGGGACAGCUCCUACACCCAACAGGCAGAGGGGAGCUCAGAGCACAAGGUACUCACAGGAAAGGUGCCUCUGCAGCACGUCACGCAGGUCAGCUCUUUGGGAGGCUGAGGGAAGGCUUGAAUGCCUUAGAGUCAUGUAGUGGGAUUUGUUGUUUUAAAUAAUCACACUACAAAGUAGCUGAAACAGGACUAGAAGAACUAAUUUCUGAUCUCAAGUUUGACUAGAUGGGUAUUGACGGAAGUUGUACACUUGUGGUGCAGAGAUGGGGAAGUAGAUCCCACUGCCAAGUGUGCUGUUUGCUUUAAUUGUCCUCUUGUUGUUACUUCUUCAGAGCUGCCUCAUCUGACUUGUAGAGUGGUAUCCAUGAAGGACUGUGAGAGGACAUGGAUCUUGGGGAUUUUGUGGUUCAUGAACACGGAUACUUCUGGCAGAGUCAGAUGAGUCUGAUAUAUGUUAACUCGACAUAGAAAGGCAUACUUCCCUUGGCAUGAGUUAUAAAUAGCUUUUAUUCUGAGGAGUUUACCAUAGAUAGGUAGAAAAAGAGGCUUAGAAGACAGUAAGAGAUUGGAACAAUUUCCUUCUGAAAUGCAUAUUCAGUGUUUUCGAUUUGGGUUUCAAGAUUGGUUCGGUAGAAAUAGAGGCUGUUACUCCCCCGGUCUGCAAACCUGGUGCCCUUAGUGCUGACAGUUCUGUGGGAGCCCUUAAAAAACUUCUCUGGCCAGUAUCGCUCUUCAGGAGCUAAGCCAUGUUUCACAUCUGUGACAAGUACUGCACAUUGCCGUCCUCUUUGUAAAAAGCCUUAAGUGAUUUUUUUCUUAACACUUGGAUUUGGUGAGUUGCACAAUUCCAGAGAGGCGAGUUUUCCAGCAUGACUGCAACCCUUGCAUUUUCCCCAUGCUAGCUCUACUAGACGUGGCUGCACACUGCUGAUAGCCAUGUCCGUGGCUGGGAGUGUUAUCAGCAGCACUCACUGGUGGGCUGGCACAGCCCAGGAGCUACUGUGUGUGUCAGAGCGGGCUGGGUGGGAAAUGGGACCCCUGAGACCCGGGGUGGGAGCUGGCUGCAGCCCUGUGUGCCCUGGGGAGAGCCACGCUCCUCUCUGAACGGAGAAACCAGAGUCUGGGGGGCAACAGGACACCCCCGGCCUGCCAAAAUCCCAACUCCAGAGCUGCGAGGGACUGGCUGGUGGGACUUGGAAACAGACCCUGGCUAUUAAAUUGGAAACAGACCCUGACGGCUGCAUUUCCGUCACGCAGGAUCCAGAGAUCCCAGUUGGGGAUCCCGUUGGCACAUGCGUCUGGUGCAAGUGUUGUUGCCAUUGACAACAAAAUAGAACAGGCAAUGGAUCUAGUGAAAAGCCAUUUGAUGUACGCAGUGAGAGAAGAAGUGGAAGUUCUGAAGGAACAAAUAAAAGAAUUAGUUGAAAGAAACUC